AUACGUAGGGUGCGAGCGUUGUCCGGAAUUACUGGGCGUAAAGAGCUCGUAGGUGGUUUGUCGCGUCGUCUGUGAAAUUCCGGGGCUUAACUCCGGGCGUGCAGGCGAUACGGGCAUAACUUGAGUACUGUAGGGGAGACUGGAACUCCUGGUGUAGCGGUGAAAUGCGCAGAUAUCAGGAGGAACACCGGUGGCGAAGGCGGGUCUCUGGGCAGUAACUGACGCUGAGGAGCGAAAGCAUGGGUAGCGAACAGGAUUAGAUACCCUGGUAGUCCAUGCCGUAAACGGUGGGCGCUAGGUGUAGGGGUCUUCCACGACUUCUGUGCUGUAGCUAACGCAUUAAGCGCCCCGCCUGGGGAGUACGGCCGCAAGGCUAAAACUCAAAUGAAUUGACGGGG
RNAcentral lists this ribosomal RNA (398 nucleotides) under uncultured bacterium. RNAcentral describes it as "partial 16S ribosomal RNA". It matches the Rfam family "Bacterial small subunit ribosomal RNA", at positions 523 to 918 of the family's 1533-position model. The record is from RNAcentral.